GAUGAACGCUGGCGGCGUGCCUAACACAUGCAAGUCGAGCGGACAGAUGAUGAGCUUGCUGCUCUCACGUUAGCGGCGGACGGGUGAGUAACACGUGUAUCACCUACCUAUCAGACUGGUAUCACUUCGGGACACCGGCGCUAAUCCCGUAUAAUAUCUUGAUCCGCAUUGUUCGAUAGUGAAAGACGGUUUUGCUGUCACUUCUCGCUGCAUCCCGGCCGGAUUAGAUAGUUGUUGCGGUCACGGCUUACCACGGCGACCAUGCGUAGCCGACCGGGGAGGCGGGUAGGCGACAUGGGAGCGGGGACGCGGACAUGACUCCUACGAGAGGCAGCAGUAGGGAAUGUGAGGCAAUGGGCGAAAGCCUGACGGAGCAGCGCCGCGUGAGUGAUGAAGGUGUUCGGAGCGGAAUACUCGGUUAUUAGGGAUGAACAGAUGUGUAAGUAAAUAUGCACGUCUUGACGGUACCGGAUCAGAAAGCCACGGCUAACUACGUG
Molecule: ribosomal RNA, 497 nt
Filed under: uncultured bacterium
Lineage: Bacteria
Description: partial 16S ribosomal RNA
Rfam family: Bacterial small subunit ribosomal RNA
Source: RNAcentral